UGGGGAAUUUUUGACAAUGGGCGCAAGCCUGAUCCAGCAAUGCCGCGUGCAGGAUGAAGGCCUUCGGGUUGUAAACUGCUUUUGUACGGAGCGAAAAGGUCUGCCCUAAUACGGUGGGCUCAUGACGUUACCGUAAGAAUAAGCACCGGCUAACUACGUGCCAGCAGCCGCGGUAAUACGUAGGGUGCGAGCGUUAAUCGGAAUUACUGGGCGUAAAGCGUGCGCAGGCGGUUAUAUAAGACAGAGGUGAAAUCCCCGGGCUCAACCUGGGACCUGCAUUUGUGACUGUAUAGCUAGAGUACGGUAGAGGGGGAUGGAAUUCCGCGUGUAGCAGUGAAAUGCGUAGAUAUGCGGAGGAACACCGAUGGCGAAGGCAAUCCACUGGACCUGUACUGACGCUCAUGCACGAAAGCGUGGGGAGCAAACA
RNAcentral lists this ribosomal RNA (427 nucleotides) under uncultured bacterium. RNAcentral's name for it is "bacterial SSU rRNA". It matches the Rfam family "Bacterial small subunit ribosomal RNA", at positions 355 to 774 of the family's 1533-position model. The record is from RNAcentral.